GAGAUCAAAACUCUUAGUGCUUCCAACUACACCACUUCCUA
This 41-nucleotide transfer RNA is filed under the name Squatina squatina (angelshark). Its description in RNAcentral is "partial tRNA-Gln". The record is from RNAcentral. Lineage: Eukaryota; Metazoa; Chordata; Chondrichthyes; Squatinidae.